GCCAGCAUAGUGUAGUGGUUUGAAUGUAGACUUAGAAUUCUGGGAGACCUGGGUUCGAAUCCCUGCUCAGCCA
Molecule: non-coding RNA, 73 nt
Organism: Phrynosoma platyrhinos (Desert horned lizard)
Lineage: Eukaryota; Metazoa; Chordata; Lepidosauria; Squamata; Phrynosomatidae
Source: the annotation of a GenBank genome assembly